Molecule: ribosomal RNA, 497 nt
Filed under: uncultured bacterium
Lineage: Bacteria
Description: partial 16S ribosomal RNA
Rfam family: Bacterial small subunit ribosomal RNA
Source: RNAcentral
GAUGAACGCUGGCGGCGUGCCUAAUACAUGCCAGUCGAGCGAACAGACGAGGAGCUUACUCCUCUGACGUUAGCGGCGGACGGGUGAGUAACACGUGGAUAACCUACCUAUAAGACUGGGAUAACUUCGGGAAACCGGAGCUAAUACCGGAUAACAUGUUGAACCGCAUGGUUCAACAGUGAAAGACGGUCUUGCUGUCACUUAUAGAUGGAUCCGCGUCGCAUUAGCUAGUUGGUAAGGUAACGGCUUACCAAGGCAACGAUGCGUAGCCGACCUGAGAGGGUGAUCGGCCACACUGGAACUGAGACACGGUCCAGACUCCUACGGGAGGCAGCAGUAGGGAAUCUUCCGCAAUGGGCGAAAGCCUGACGGAGCAACGCCGCGUGAGCGAAGAAGGUCUUCGGAUCGUAAAACUCUGUUAUUAGGGAAGAACAAAUGUGUAAGUAACUAUGCACGUCUUGACGGUACCUAAUCAGAAAGCCACGGCUAACUACGUG